CCGUUGGGGGGCUUGACCCUUUAGUGGCGAAGCUAACGCGAUAAGUAGACCGCCUGGGGAGUACGGUCGCAAGAUUAAAACUCAAAUGAAUUGACGGGGGCCCGCACAAGCGGUGGAGCAUGUGGUUUAAUUUGAUGCAACGCGAAAAACCUUACCAGGCCUUGACAUCCAGAGAACUUUCUAGAGAUAGAUUGGUGCCUUCGGGAACUCUGUGACAGGUGUUGCAUGGCUGUCGUCAGCUCGUGUCGUGAGAUGUUGGGUUAAGUCCCGUAACGAGCGCAACCCUUAUCCUUAUUUGCCAGCACUUCGGGUGGGAACUCUAAGGAGACUGCCGGUGACAAACCGGAGGAAGGAGAGGAUGAUGUCAAGUCAUCAUGGCCCUUACGGCCUGGGCUACACACGUGCUACAAUGGGCAGUACAGAGGGCCGCAAACCCGCGAGGGGGAGCAAAUCCCAAAAAACCGUUCGUAGUCCGGAUCGGAGUUUGCAACUCGACUCCGUGAAGUCGGAAUCGCUAGUAAUCGCGAAUCAGCAUGUCGCGGUGAAUACGUUCCCGGGCCUUGUACACACCGCCCGUCACAUCAUGGGAGUGGGUUGCACCAGAAGUAGCUAGUUUAACCUUCGGGAGAACGGUUACCACGGUGUGAUUCAUGACUGGGAUGAAGUCGUAACAAGGUAGCCGUAGGGGAACCUGCGGCUGGAUCACCUCCUU
This 712-nucleotide ribosomal RNA is filed under the name uncultured Gammaproteobacteria bacterium. RNAcentral's name for it is "bacterial SSU rRNA". It matches the Rfam family "Bacterial small subunit ribosomal RNA", at positions 820 to 1532 of the family's 1533-position model. The record is from RNAcentral. Lineage: Bacteria; Pseudomonadati; Pseudomonadota; Gammaproteobacteria.